This is a long non-coding RNA of Esox lucius (northern pike), 1259 nucleotides long. The record is from Ensembl. NCBI's taxonomy places the organism in Eukaryota, Metazoa, Chordata, Actinopteri, Esociformes, Esocidae.
UUUCACUCUCCGCCCCUCAUGACACAGGUUCAACACGUACAGUCGGACUGCAACGCCUCGAGGGGCAGAUUGGUAGGAGAACUUUCUACUUGUAGGCCGGUUUCCCCGGAGGACAGCCUCACCAUGGCAUGAUGCUCCAGGUUACCCCCCUACGACAAGGUAGCCCUGCUGCACGCCGACGGUCCAUCUGAGAACAUACAGAAGAUGGUUAAACAACAAGUACAGUGAAGACAGUCAUUGAAACACAACGCCAGUUACACAGCACCAUUUGUUAACAUGUUAGAUAGAAACUAGCCUUUAUCUGGCCCGGUUCCAUACUCGCUGCCCACUGAACAGGACAAGCGAGCCAUCGUGGGUCAGUUUCUGUCUGCCCGCUUAAUGCAAAACAGUGACAUUGGAGUCAGUUAUGUCUCAAGGGGCAAGAAACACCAAGAGAUACUAUUAGAAUUUUUUUCCCAAAAGACAAACAAGACAUUUAAUACUACUACAGUCAAAAUAGAAAGCAAUCAAAACAGCCAAAAGAACACUGAUAUUCAAGUGUCUGGCUACACUGGUCCCAGAUAAUUUGGUAGUGGAUAUCGCAUGAUUUCAUCCAAGAACUCAUUUAAAAGGCUGCCUGUUGCUUACCAUCAAAAGUUCCUGCCAUUCUUCAAGAAAGGCAGCCAUCAUCCUUCUUCCAUUCAUCACUUCAUGGGGCACCAGAUUACAGUGGUAUCAAAUAUUCUCCAACAAAGACAAAAGUGGGAAAACUAGAGAGAGAAAAUUAGAGCUAUUAGCUAAGAUCUGUCAAUUUACUGUUAUUUAAUUGCAUAAAACGUCACAUCAGAGCUAAGAUCACUUGGAACAGUUCUGGGUCAUUGGGAGCACAUAUGGCCCAAUCAUGUCACCCCUUAACAGACAGGUUUAACAGUCAGACAGCAAGCCCUGGAGAAGCUGCUUGGCAGGAAACCAAACAGUAAUAGUGUACAAAUAGCGAACUACAAGAAAUGGAACCAAUGUGGCCUUUUGUAUUAUCACCAAGGGUUGUUCAUUACACCACCCACUUCUCCGCUCCUUACCGUUAAAACUAGUCUUAAUUAAAACCCCUCCUUAACAGAUGAAUCGCCAUAUAAAUCUAGUUUAACCAGAAGAUCUCUCGCUGGCACUGAAACGCCAUGGCUUUUAGGUUAAUCGCCGUGUGCCGUGGUUUCGCACCUACGUUACCUCAUGUUGCUUAUGCUAAGAACGUGUUACAACUAUUAGUAGUGCUUCGAUAGAUA